This 72-nucleotide transfer RNA is filed under the name Ictidomys tridecemlineatus (thirteen-lined ground squirrel). RNAcentral describes it as "Spermophilus tridecemlineatus (thirteen-lined ground squirrel) tRNA". It matches the Rfam family "tRNA". From Rfam's summary of the family: Transfer RNA (tRNA) molecules are approximately 80 nucleotides in length. Their secondary structure includes four short double-helical elements and three loops (D, anti-codon, and T loops). The record is from Rfam by way of RNAcentral. Lineage: Eukaryota; Metazoa; Chordata; Mammalia; Rodentia; Sciuridae. RNAcentral also lists the same sequence under 1 other name.
UGGGGUGUGGCUCAGUGGUAGAGCGCUUGCCUCAUAUGUGUGAGGCCCUGAGUUCCAUCUUCAGCACCACAU